UAAAUAAGGUGUUGCUCUAGGAAUUAUCAUAGUUUGUAUUUCAGUCUUUAUUCAGCUGAACUGAAGGAUAAAACUAGAAUUUUUCUUCCUUAUCUAACAGGCACCAGAAGUAAUCAGAAUGCAAGAUAAAAACCCAUAUAGCUUUCAGUCAGAUGUAUAUGCAUUUGGGAUUGUUCUGUAUGAACUAAUGACUGGCCAGCUACCUACUCGAACAUCAACAACAGGGAUCAGAUAAUUUUUAUGGUGGGACGAGGCUAUCUAUCUCCAGAUCUCAGUAAGGUACGGAGUAACUGUCCAAAAGCCAUGAAGAGAUUAAUGGCAGAGUGCCUCAAAAAGAAAAGAGACGAGAGACCACUCUUUCCCCAAAUCCUCGCCUCCAUCGAGCUGCUGGCCCGCUCAUUGCCAAAAAUUCACCGCAGUGCAUCAGAGCCCUCCUUGAAUCGGGCUGGUUUCCAAACGGAAGAUUUUAGUCUGUAUGCUUGUGCGUCUCCUAAAACACCCAUCCAAGCAGGGGGCUAUGGUGCGUUUCCAGUCCAUUGAAACAAACUAAAUGAGUGAGACAUUAAAGUAAGGUAGCAACCAAAACAAAUGAAUAAUUUCCCUUAUACUUAAAUUAACUAGGAACUCUGCUAUACACAGGGGAGCCAAAGAGUGUUUGUGUUGAAAAACUUAGGAAUUGCUUUCCAAGUCUUAAAAUCAUACUUAACAUUGAAUUUCAACAUCAAGGGGUUAAAAUACACAAAUGCUGCUAAACAUUUUCAGUGCCUCUU
This is a long non-coding RNA of Peromyscus leucopus (white-footed mouse), 770 nucleotides long. RefSeq lists it as uncharacterized. Lineage: Eukaryota; Metazoa; Chordata; Mammalia; Rodentia; Cricetidae. The record is from RefSeq and is a predicted model, not a curated record. The transcript is spliced from 3 exons.